UACGGGGGGGGCUAGCGUUGUUCGGAAUUACUGGGCGUAAAGCGCACGUAGGCGGCUUUGUAAGUUAGAGGUGAAAGCCCAGGGCUUAACCCUGGAAUUGCCUUUAAGACUGCAUCGCUAGAAUUGUGGAGAGGUAAGUGGAAUUCCGAGUGUAGAGGUGAAAUUCGUAGAUAUUCGGAAGAACACCAGUGGCGAAGGCGACUUACUGGACAGAUACUGACGCUGAGGUGCGAAAGCGUGGGGAGCAAACAGG
Molecule: ribosomal RNA, 253 nt
Filed under: uncultured bacterium
Lineage: Bacteria
Description: partial 16S ribosomal RNA
Rfam family: Bacterial small subunit ribosomal RNA
Source: RNAcentral